CUGAGGAGUCCCACAACAGGACGAAACGGCCGUC
This is a non-coding RNA of Schistosoma haematobium, 34 nucleotides long. The record is from Rfam. Lineage: Eukaryota; Metazoa; Platyhelminthes; Trematoda; Strigeidida; Schistosomatidae.